CGCGGCGCAGAACCGCAGGCGCUCGCCCGGCUAAGCCUGCGCCGGGCCGCCUAGGUAGCUCCCAGCUCCGCAGGCGGCCUCCGGGUGCAGACCGCUGCGCACACGGCCCUAGGCAAAGACAAGGGCUCACCCGAGGCUCGGCGGCCGGCGCGGCUCUCGGAAUAUGGCAACCUGUGCAUGGCUUGUCCUGGGAGGAGCUGACUUCAGUCAUCGUGAUGCCUAAGAAUCAAAGAACAUUUGGGGACCAUCUGUCUGCAUUUACAGGAGGGUGAAGAACUUACAGAAUGCCCUGAGUCAGAGGGAAGGUAGACAUGAAUAAAACUGACCCUGCCUCAGGAGCGUCCCUGGAGGAGUUCAUGGCCUGACCUGGUGGCAGGACAGAUGUGUAUAGAGUCACAGCCACUGCUCUAAGCAGUGUCAUAAUGAGUCACACACCAAGUGCUCUGAAAGCACCGAGAAGAGAGCAACGCACAGGGAAACUGGCACCAAGCAUGUGCUCUGGGACUUGUGUAUUGAGGGUCAGACACCUGAACCGGCCCCCUGGUAACGGCACAUUUGAUGUGGACACAGAGCCCCUUGGGCGGGUCUGGUGAAGGGAAGACAGCAUUGCUCAGGGCUGUCUCGCCCUGUCAGUCUCUGGCCUGCUCACCCCCCAGAGGCUGCAGCUGAGAACCAUUAAGCUGUGUUCACUUAGCACAUUGCCCGGCACAAGGUAAUUGGUAUCUGUGGGAUGAAUAUAGGAACAAAUACAUUACCAGCAAGUAAACCCUCCCGUUUUCCAGCAGAAGCAAAAAGGACUGAAUAUCUCUCCGGCUGAGUUGCCCGAGUGCUGUCCACGAUCCAGCACGCACUCCAGGAAAGAUCCCUCUGGUCCUGGGCACAAAGGGAAUUACAGAAUCUUCUAUCUCCUGGUUUGGGCCUGGAGGGAGGGCCAGAAGAACUUUCAUCCACAUCCAGAAAUUCCCCCACUCAAGACUAUGAGUCCUAUUUUCAAGGCUUAAAACAAGCCUAACAUACAAACAAAGAACAGUAACAGCAACAAAGCAUGGGAAUGCGGGCCCCAACGAAAGCAAGGUAGAGUCCAUCCUGCUGGCUACCCCAGCUUGCCCAGCCCGUCCCCGCUUGGCUGGGCAUCCCAUGCGUGGACAUGUCUCCCAAGAGCCUCCCGAUGCGCGUCCUUGUUUUGUCAGACUGCUUUUCUGCAGCACAGGGCUUUUCCCAUUUAAAUCACAGAUCCCAGCUUCCCAAGUGUGUUGACAUGUCAGUAGGUUUCGAACAGCCCAUUAGGCUUUUCUGACUCAGGCAGGGCUCACCUGCCCGUGCAUGUGCACACACCUGCUCGUAAAGGUUGAAUGCAGUUGAUAGGCCGUUGUGUGGAGACUGGGGUAAUGGGUGUGGCCAGCUGAACUGCCAGCUGGGUGGACACCUCACUGGAAGAAACAGGCAAGCAUCUCCCCUUCCCCUGCCCCGGGCACACCUGCACAGAGGCCAGCUGACCUCCGAGAUCCAGGAAAGUAUUAGUUACAUUGCUAAUAACAUUAAUGAUAAUAUAAACAACAAAGCAUGUAUAAAUGCGUAUCAGGAAAUUAAUCCUGAAAUUAAAGGUCUAU
Physeter macrocephalus (sperm whale) is the source of this 1610-nucleotide long non-coding RNA. RefSeq lists it as uncharacterized. The record is from RefSeq and is a predicted model, not a curated record. The transcript has 5 exons. NCBI's taxonomy places the organism in Eukaryota, Metazoa, Chordata, Mammalia, Artiodactyla, Physeteridae.